RNAcentral lists this small nuclear RNA (159 nucleotides) under Buceros rhinoceros silvestris. RNAcentral describes it as "U1 spliceosomal RNA". It matches the Rfam family "U1 spliceosomal RNA". Rfam says of the family: U1 is a small nuclear RNA (snRNA) component of the spliceosome (involved in pre-mRNA splicing). Its 5' end forms complementary base pairs with the 5' splice junction, thus defining the 5' donor site of an intron. Lineage: Eukaryota; Metazoa; Chordata; Aves; Bucerotiformes; Bucerotidae. The record is from Rfam by way of RNAcentral.
AUCCUUACCUGGCAGGGGAGACACCGUGAUCAGGCAGGUGGUUUUCCCAGGGCAAGGCUCAUCGCCCGCGCUCCGGUGGGCUGACCCCUGCGAUUUCCCCCAGUGGGGAAACUCAACCACACAAUUUGUGGUAGUGGGGGAACUUCAUUUACUUUCCUG